This 677-nucleotide long non-coding RNA is filed under the name Manacus vitellinus (golden-collared manakin). RNAcentral's name for it is "lncRNA (ENSMVIG00005008602.1)". Lineage: Eukaryota; Metazoa; Chordata; Aves; Passeriformes; Pipridae. The record is from RNAcentral.
CCUGUGGAGCCUACAGUCAGAAAAAUCCUCUACACACCAAGAAGGCUGGCAGAGGAGCAGUUGAUCCACAGUGGGAGCCCAGAGAGGGAAGGGUGGUUGAUCAAAGUGGUGCCUCCCAAACAGACUGUCCUGUCUCCAGUGAAGCAGAGGAGAAGUGCAGUUGGUGAGCAGUGUUAAAAACCAGGUCCCAACCAGACGAACCAGAUACUCCUCGAUGUCUGAGUCCUCUCAUGAUCCUGCAAUGAUACUUUUUCAGCACAGAAGCAGAAAUGCUGAUACAGCACGAGAGGGGCUCCACACGCAGCUGAUGGAUCUUCUGGAAGCAUUACAAGGCCUCUUCCAUCAGUUUUCCCCACCUUUUGUCUUGGAGGAGAGGCAGAAUAUUUAAAGGAGAGCUUAGAAAGCCUGUAAGUUGAAAUCCAUUGACAGUAUUUACAUCACUUGAUCCAUAGAACCCACAAGAGCUCCCAAAACCAGUCCCAACCCUCAGGCUGAGAAAGCCGGACAUCCCAACCCAAAAAGUAUUUCCACUGUUGAGUUCCUUUGUGAAACUCAUUUAUCUCUUAAUUUCUGUUUCUAUUGCUCAUGGACUAUUUUGAAUUUUCCUGAUUCCAGUACACUCACGUUGCAAAACUAAAUAACAGCCUCUGAAUGUAUCCCAUGGGACUUGUCCCAGG